GCCUCCGUAGCUCAGCUGGAUAGAGCAACGGACUUCUAAUCCGUAGGUCGCAGGUUCGACUCCUGCCGGGGGCGCGA
This 77-nucleotide transfer RNA is filed under the name Acidimicrobiaceae bacterium TMED130. RNAcentral's name for it is "tRNA-Arg". It matches the Rfam family "tRNA". Rfam says of the family: Transfer RNA (tRNA) molecules are approximately 80 nucleotides in length. Their secondary structure includes four short double-helical elements and three loops (D, anti-codon, and T loops). The record is from RNAcentral. Lineage: Bacteria; Bacillati; Actinomycetota; Acidimicrobiia; Acidimicrobiales; Acidimicrobiaceae.